This 469-nucleotide ribosomal RNA is filed under the name uncultured bacterium. RNAcentral describes it as "bacterial SSU rRNA". It matches the Rfam family "Bacterial small subunit ribosomal RNA", at positions 27 to 507 of the family's 1533-position model. The record is from RNAcentral.
CGGACGAACGCUGGCGGCGUGGAUUAGGCAUGCAAGUCGGACGGUAGGGCUUUAUCGUAAGAUAGAGUUUGAGAGUGGCGAACGGGUGAGUAACACGUAGGAAUCUACCCUUAAGACGGGGACAACCCAGGGAAACUUGGGCUAAUACCGGAUGAGAGUGCGAGAGAUUGCAUUUAAAAGGAUGGCGAAAGUUGUCGCUUAGGGAUGAGCCUGCGGUCUAUUAGUUAGUUGGUGAGGUAAGGGCUCACCAAGGCGACGAUCAGUAGCCGGCCUGAGAGGGUGAACGGCCACACUGGAACUGAGACACGGUCCAGACUCCUACGGGAGGCAGCAGUGGGGAAUAUUGCACAAUGGAGGGAACUCUGAUGCAGCGACGCCGCGUGAGUGAAGAAGGUCUUCGGAUCGUAAAACUCUGUCCUUGGUGAAGAAAAGGACGGUAGCCAAGGAGGAAGCCCCGGCUAACUACGUG